Molecule: long non-coding RNA, 1936 nt
Organism: Lontra canadensis (Northern American river otter)
Lineage: Eukaryota; Metazoa; Chordata; Mammalia; Carnivora; Mustelidae
Exons: 2
Source: RefSeq, a predicted model, not a curated record
CCCCGGCCCUUCCCCACGGGGAGAGUUAGUGUGUGGGUGAGCUCUCUGAGCAGCCCAGGAAGGGGGUGCUUCAGGAUAGAUGAGUGUGUUCACCUCGCACAUCUCUCCCUCACCCAGUUCUGGGCACAGGCGUGACGUGGGACGAGACCCGUAUAAGGUACCCUGCUCUUGUCUGGUGUUUCUCCUUGUUUUUAAUCGUCUCUCCACCCCACCCCACUCUCAGUCUUCCACACACACAAAAUACCUCACAGAUAAGAGCUUCACCAAACCGCAGCUAAGGAGGCACUUGGCCAUGGCACUGACCUCACACGCCUCCGCUGGGGCUUGCUGAGUCUCUGCGUCCACGCACGUGGGACUCGCAGGCUUGUCAGCGCGCCGGGAUCCCAGCUUGAGGCUGCAUUUUCAUUCGUUUGGUAGCAGCUGCUCUAAGACGCACAGAAUUGGCCCCAUGCGUUGUCUCCUGCUAUUCUUAAAUUCAAUCCGUUAGAUGGCCCAAUGUCACUUCAGCCCAGGCCGUGGGCUUUCGUUGAUUCCGUGGCACAGGCCAAGCCUCCAGAAGCCCGUGGAUGCAUGGGCCUGGGGGAAUGAACCCUGAGGCCGAACCCCUCUCUUCCCAGAGUUGCCAGCUCGGCUCUGGCAAGGCUGGGGGGCCGUCGUCACUUGGCUCUGCCAACCUAGGAACGUUUCUGGCCUUGCUGUCACACCUCGGCUUCACGUGCAAAUCCAGCAAAAGUGCAGAAAAUUGCCUGAGUGCAGCUGUCAGAAGCAGCGCUUUGUUUGCAAAUUGGGUAACUAAAUAGUUUUUAAAAAUAUCUGUGAUUAAUUUUUUAAAUGAUACCUUUUAAGUGGCCUUGGUGAAAGUGAUUCAGAGAUCAGCACACAUGGUGUUUUCUACUGUUUGAGGAAAAAACAAUAAGAGAAUUUCCAGAAGCCCGAGAAAUUAGAGUGGUGAGCUGUAGUAAUCUCACACCUGUUCUCUUUCUCGGGCUGUGGGGCUAAAGCCACGAGGAGAAGUUCACCUGCGUGGUAUCUUAGGCAUUCUGGAAGCUGUUAGCCUAACAGAAUUGUAAUGGGGUUGUAUUUAUAGGCUCCUAGGAAGAAUACACAAGAACCCCGUAGACCAGGAUGAAUUUGUUUAUUUUAAAAGGUAAAGCAGAUAGCCCUUCCUGAGUUCCCUAGAUAGCUCUCGGACUUUAGAUAAACAAGGAGAAUUAAGGUCUGAUGGCAGACGCCAAGGCCAGCCUCCAGCCUUCUCUUCCCACCUCAGUUGGCCCACAGUUCCCACCCUCCCCACCCCCGGUUUGGCCUGCCCUUCUCUCUCUCUGAUGUUCUCCCCCCUGCCGCUGGGGAAAGAGUGACACGUUCACCUCCCACCGUGGAAGGGCAUUACAUCCUGUCGGGGUCAUUGCCCAGACACGGCAACAGGACUUCCCACUUCUCCGUGAUCGGUGCUCAAGUGAGAGCCUCUUUCGGCCAAGUCCAAAGGUGAGACCACCAACCACUUGUGCAGGACUUGACCCCACACCAGCCUUGUUGCGGGAUGCUCUUGUUCCAACUCUGUCUGCCAGGAAACCCGAGUUCUUUGCAGUCUCCUACAUGCCAGGAGUCAGUUCUCGUUUCCGGUUAUUUGAAGUCAGUCUUAAAAGGAAUAGAAUACAAUAAGUAAAAUAUAUUAGCUAUCGUUCUGAGUCGGAACUGGAUAGAUGUGGGAAAUUUCCGUACAGUGUGUGAAAAGUUCACCAUGCAGGGAAAUUUGUUUUCCUCUGUAUCUCUUCUUUUCCUAUACAAAUUAUUCAAAAUCAUACUGUUCCUGUAAAAUUCUUCCAAAUAUUGUUACUACAAAAUUACUCAGAAUUGUACUGUUACUAUAAAAUUAUUCAAAAUAUCAUGCCAAUAAACUGCAUCAAUUUGUAGACGAUUAAAGUGCUUUCCAACA